Molecule: ribosomal RNA, 500 nt
Filed under: Podarcis vaucheri
Lineage: Eukaryota; Metazoa; Chordata; Lepidosauria; Squamata; Lacertidae
Description: partial 16S ribosomal RNA
Rfam family: Bacterial large subunit ribosomal RNA
Source: RNAcentral
UCCCGCCUGCCCAGUGACUCUUUAAACGGCCGCGGUAUCCUAACCGUGCAAAGGUAGCAUAAUCACUUGUCCCCUAAAUAGGGACUAGAAUGAACGGCUAAAUGAGGACAAAACUGUCUCUUACGGACCAACCAAUGAAAUUGAUCUUCCAGUACAAAAGCUGGAAUAAACCCAUAAGACGAGAAGACCCUGUGGAGCUUUAAAACCAAAACCACCAAACAUGUUUCUUGGUUUUUUAGUUGGGGCGACUUUGGAGAAAAAACAACCCUCCAAACUAUAAACCCAUUUAUUAAGAAUAACACAUCAAAAAUAAUUAAAUAGACCCAGCAACAUUAUAUUGUCUGACCAAUGAACCAAGUUACCCCAGGGAUAACAGCGCCAUCCUCUUCUAGAGUCCCUAUCGACAAGGGGGUUUACGACCUCGAUGUUGGAUCAGGACACCCCUAUAGUGCAGCCGCUUUAAAAGGUUCGUUUGUUCAACGAUUAAAGUCCUACGUGAU